This 30-nucleotide non-coding RNA is filed under the name Cricetulus griseus (Chinese hamster). Lineage: Eukaryota; Metazoa; Chordata; Mammalia; Rodentia; Cricetidae. The record is from RNAcentral.
CUGGAGAGACUUUGACAGCCCAGGCCAGCA